AUUGAACGCUGGCGGCAUGCCUUACACAUGCAAGUCGAACGGCAGCACGGGUGCUUGCACCUGGUGGCGAGUGGCGAACGGGUGAGUAAUACAUCGGAACAUGUCCUGUAGUGGGGGAUAGCCCGGCGAAAGCCGGAUUAAUACCGCAUACGAUCUACGGAUGAAAGCGGGGGACCUUCGGGCCUCGCGCUAUAGGGUUGGCCGAUGGCUGAUUAGCUAGUUGGUGGGGUAAAGGCCUACCAAGGCGACGAUCAGUAGCUGGUAUGAGAGGACGACCAGCCACACUGGGACUGAGACACGGCCCAGACUCCUACGGGAGGCAGCAGUGGGGAAUUUUGGACAAUGGGCGAAAGCCUGAUCCAGCAAUGCCGCGUGUGUGAAGAAGGCCUUCGGGUUGUAAAGCACUUUUGUCCGGAAAGAAAUCCUUGGCUCUAAUACAGUCGGGGGAUGACGGUACCGGAAGAAUAAGCACCGGCUAACUACGUG
Molecule: ribosomal RNA, 486 nt
Filed under: uncultured bacterium
Lineage: Bacteria
Description: partial 16S ribosomal RNA
Rfam family: Bacterial small subunit ribosomal RNA
Source: RNAcentral